GACGAACGCUGGCGGCGUGCUUAACACAUGCAAGUCGAACGGAAAGGCCCUGCUUUUGUGGGGUGCUCGAGUGGCGAACGGGUGAGUAACACGUGAGUAACCUGCCCUUGACUUUGGGAUAACUUCAGGAAACUGGGGCUAAUACCGGAUAGGAGCUCCUGCUGCAUGGUGGGGGUUGGAAAGUUUCGGCGGUUGGGGAUGGACUCGCGGCUUAUCAGCUUGUUGGUGGGGUAGUGGCUUACCAAGGCUUUGACGGGUAGCCGGCCUGAGAGGGUGACCGGCCACAUGGGGCUUGAGAUACGGCCCAGACUCCUACGGGAGGCAGCGGUGGGGAAUAUUGCACAAUGGGCGGAAGCCUGAUGCAGCAACGCCGCGUGCGGGAGGACGGCCUUCGGGUUGUAAACCGCUUUCGCCUGUGACGAAGCGUGAGUGACGGUAAUGGGUAAAGAAGCACCGCCUAACUACGU
Molecule: ribosomal RNA, 467 nt
Filed under: uncultured bacterium
Lineage: Bacteria
Description: partial 16S ribosomal RNA
Rfam family: Bacterial small subunit ribosomal RNA
Source: RNAcentral